Molecule: ribosomal RNA, 312 nt
Filed under: Triticum aestivum (bread wheat)
Lineage: Eukaryota; Viridiplantae; Streptophyta; Magnoliopsida; Poales; Poaceae
Description: partial small subunit ribosomal RNA
Source: RNAcentral
AUGGCCGCCGCUACCACCGUUUGCUCUUCCCCGCCCCCUUGUCAUCCUUCAGUGCCGCCUCUAGGUCACCAUCGCCGUCACGACUAUGAACUCCAAGCGUGCCCGUGUGAGGCCUCCAGCACCACCCGCCGCAGUCCCCCUGAUCCUUUCCUCCCUCCCUGUCUGCCGAUGCAGACGGAGAUACAAAACAUGGGAUGGAGAUCAGAUGGUGGGCUCUCGCUCCACAUGCGCGGCGGUGGACUUUUCCGCAGUAAGGGCACAGAGAUAGUUGAAGCAAUUGAGGAACCGUCGGUGCGAAGCCGGGGCUUUUGA